This is an RNA transcript of Frieseomelitta varia, 1863 nucleotides long. RefSeq lists it as uncharacterized. The record is from RefSeq and is a predicted model, not a curated record. NCBI's taxonomy places the organism in Eukaryota, Metazoa, Arthropoda, Insecta, Hymenoptera, Apidae. The transcript is spliced from 2 exons.
AUAAGUCUUCUCAUUAUUUUCAUAAUUAUUUAUUAAAUCUUUCUAAUGUGUGUUUCUCUUUCCUGCUUUUUUGUUUCAUGCUUUUUAUUUAUUGAACUUUUUGUAAGUUUAGUUCAUAUUUAGAUCAAUAAAGUUUGUUACGACGAAUACGAUCCCCUCUGUCACUCUGAUAAACUCAUGUUGUGUUUAUUUCUAACAUUCUAUCGGAUGAACGUAAACAAAAAUAUCGUCAGUAAUACCAUUACUCGAUGACAUUGUGGAAAUCGCGUAAAACCGACGAUACUUCGAUUUAAAUUACUCUUUAAUUUUAAGUAAUUCUUUUGAACGCGAAUCGUGAAUUAAUUACAUAAACUCAGUCUGUGUAAAUUUUCUAUUGAAAGAAUAAUUAAGAUAAUUUGAACAAGCGAAAAUACGAAUAAUAAUAUUGAAACUUUCGAAGUUGUUGAUUUCACGAAUCGCCAUGAUAUUGGAAUGUACGAAUGAAUACAACGGCCUGGUGCUAUUCUACAAAAAGCUUGAAGAAAUAUCAACCAUUUUAAAGGAAGGAAAAACCACUCAGGCCAGAGUAAUGAAUUUUAUUCUGACAAUGCUCAACUGUAUGAUCUUAAAAGUCGACAGUCAAACUUGUCUUCACGAAUUCAUCGGUAUAUUCAAUGAUAGAAGUAUACAAGUUCUCAGAAACGAUCUGGAGAAUCUUUUGUGUUUCAAGACCAGGUUUUUCAACUUUUUAAUCCUGGAGUUGCUGCUAGAAGCUGUCAGAAAAGAGAACAAUGUUAAACUGAUGGUGGAUAAGCCGUGUAAACAAUGGAACAAAGUUGUUUUUCAAAAAAGAGUCAAAGCUAUCGUAAAAUUUUUAAUUUUCCGAAAGGUAAAGAAGUCUUCUUAUCUCUGCGAUGGAAACGAUAUACCGGAUUGGUUUUCUUACAGACAGAAAGUUAGUAUCGUGCUUAAUAACGAAAUCAAUUCGGGAGAUAAUUUUAUAAUGAAUAAAAAUAAUUUGAAAGAUAAUCGCGUGAAAGAUACCGUGAAUUGUGCUCGUUAUAAGAAGAAAAGUCAAUAUGCAGAUAAUGUCAAGAUUUUUAAAAAGUACUCAAAUACGAAAUUUAAUUUUUACGAAACACCCAUGUACACUUGCAUUCGUCAUCUCUGCACCAGAGUCUAUUGUCUGUUUUGGUUAGCAAUUUUUAUUUAUGGAUGGUUAGCAGUUUUUAUGUAUUAUUGCUGCGGAUUUUUUCAUCAGAUAUUCUUAAGUGUUAUACAUAAAUCGAUCAAUGAAUAAUCGUAAUAUGAUAGUUUGAUUUGUGUUAUUUAUAAGUUAAGCGCGAAUUCUGUAUUAUUCCGUUCAAAUUGUUGCCCAUAUUGUCUUUUUCACAAACAUAUAUUGUAAUUGAUAAUACUAAUCUAGUCAAUACGUUCAAUUAUAAAAUCGAUAAAUCUAUUUAACUUGAUCGAUUGAUAGAAAAGCGCAUUACGUGAUAUAAGAUAAAUUUUUAUGUGUGUUAUGUAAAUUAUUUAAAAAACACGUUUUAUACUUGUACUUAUAGAAUGUGCAAUAUUUAUCAAAAUGAUAACGUAGCUGAAUUCAGCUAGCACUGUUUUCAAUAUGAUAUCAAAUGUUAAGCAUUUUUUUUAUUUUUGAGAUAUAAUCGAGAAAAAUGUAAUCAAGGUUAAACUCUCUAUUAGUAAAUAUAUGUAAAUAUAUGUAUAUAAACGUAACUUCGUUCCAUGAAAAUGUAUUUAGUAUGUAGCGUAGUUAUGAUAGUGCAUAAGAUAUAAAAUAUUUCCAUCGGUCCCGUUUCUUCUUAACGAAUUUACCGGCGUCUCCAACUACGUUCGAGAUUACAACUACAUAGAAAAACCUUU